GCCCCCGUAGCUCAGGGGAUAGAGCAGCGGUUUCCUAAACCGUUUGUCGGAGGUUCGAAUCCUCUCGGGGGCA
This 73-nucleotide transfer RNA is filed under the name Actinomycetota bacterium. RNAcentral's name for it is "tRNA-Arg". It matches the Rfam family "tRNA". From Rfam's summary of the family: Transfer RNA (tRNA) molecules are approximately 80 nucleotides in length. Their secondary structure includes four short double-helical elements and three loops (D, anti-codon, and T loops). The record is from RNAcentral. Lineage: Bacteria; Bacillati; Actinomycetota.